Molecule: long non-coding RNA, 312 nt
Organism: Acomys russatus (golden spiny mouse)
Lineage: Eukaryota; Metazoa; Chordata; Mammalia; Rodentia; Muridae
Exons: 3
Source: RefSeq, a predicted model, not a curated record
AGGCUGCCUUUAACAAUUCUUAACAUUGCCCAUGGCCAUCACAACAUCAAAAGGAGUCAUGAGCCAAGUGUUCUUCACAGGAAACUGGGUGGAAUACAGAUUAUUCUUGGACAAACUUAGGAGCAGACCUGCCCCGGCUGCUGGCAGGGUUAGGUCAGAUGUCUGAGCCUGCUCUCCAUCUGGAAGGGUGCUGUCAGUGUCUGCUGUUCGCCAUCCUGCAGCGUGGGUAGACAAGGGACUCUGCUUCUGCCUCCUGGUCUCAUCAUGUGGCUCUGGAUGAUUUGAAACUCACCAGGUAGACCAGGCUGGCCU